Anguilla anguilla (European eel) is the source of this 1612-nucleotide long non-coding RNA. RefSeq lists it as uncharacterized. The transcript is spliced from 4 exons. The record is from RefSeq and is a predicted model, not a curated record. NCBI's taxonomy places the organism in Eukaryota, Metazoa, Chordata, Actinopteri, Anguilliformes, Anguillidae.
UCUUUUGACCUCAAACUCAAUUGUCUUCAGUGUAUAGCAAAAACUACUAAAAAUUACCAUUUACCACAUUACACACACAGCCACUUUCUAUGGUGAGGAUGAAGGCAUGUUCUGAGUAGCCUCUAUCAGACUGAAGCCAUGGAGUAUUUUAUUUUAUUUUUAUUUCCCCCCCCCCUUUGGAUGCACAGGACCGACUCCAGUGACUGGAAACUACACCAUUGCCACUGUAUCUGCCUGUAUUUUAGUAGCUGCUCUCAUUGUUGCUGGCGUUGGUGGCCUCAUUUACAAAAAAAGGCUUUGCAACUGUCGAAGAGGGCAGGACAGGGGCCGUCGCCAAGGGAACAACCGGGUGCCUCCUCAUGAUGCUGAGGAUCGUGAUGAGAUCACCAUCGAGAUACAGCCUCUUAAGGGAGAAGUUGCAAACGGAAAUGUUAACGGGGUCCAUCGAGAGGAUGACAGCGUUGGGACUGCAGGGUUACUUGGCCAUUGGGACGAUUAUGCUGGUGGCGGGAAAUGACACUGCAUCUUUCAGUACUGGACCUGAGUUCUGACAUGGUCUGUGGUUCUGACUAACACUGUUCACCAUACCAUUCUCUUACCCACCCAUUUUUCCAGUCUGUUUACCACAGGCACGGCUCUUAAUUUGUUUAUGAUGUGCCUAACAAACCGUUCAAUCUGGAUUAAGAUUUGAAUGUAAAAAAAAUUCCUACACUUGAAUCAGAACAAAACAUAUUUAUUUAAAUUUAAAUUUUAUUGAUAUUUAUUUUAUUUCCUCAUUUACACUGUUUCUUUUAAUGCUUUUAAAUUCAUUUAUUUAUUGUGAAGCACAUUGUGAUGGGCUAUGAAACUAACCCUUUUGUUACUUUGAUUCAUUAUGAAUUAUCAUAGAAGUGUGCAGAGUGCGGAGUCUUCCUGUGUCUAAACAGCACAAAGCAGUGCUUUUUCACAUAUCAUCUCAAAUGAAAUCUGAAAAUGAGGUGAAUAAGAGAUUCCAAUUCUGAUCAGUUGAAAAAAUAUGUUCAGGACUGAACAUGAACUCUGCAUGAUACCUGCAAUGGGUGUUUUUUAAAGUUUAAAGUUUUGUUCAUGAGUUUAUACUUAUACUAAAAUGGCGAUGUAUGAAACGGUGCCUGAUUGUAAAGCAGAAAUGCCACACAGUAUCUAUGCAUGUAUACAGAUGUUGUAUACAGAUGUUUGUUCCAAAUUGUAGUUGAUAUGUUCGAUAUGAAAUAUGUAAUCAAAAUGAAAUCAAUGGAAUUAAUGGAAUUAAUGUUUUUUUUUUUUUUUUACAUAUUUAAACUGUUUUGUUCAUAGAAACAAAAUAGUUUAAACUUAUAAAAUAACAAUCAAACAGUGUCUGAUUUUAAAGCAGAAAUGCCAUAUUAUAUAUAUACAUAUUUGUGGACCUAGCCAUUGUAAUUGAUGGGAUAUUUACAGGCCAAAAACAUGUUGAUGGAGUGUAAAUAAAGCAAUUAAUUGUUUUAAGGUUUUAAAGAGAGAUUAAAAUGAUUGUGUUUCAGGAAAAAUGUUCAGAAAUAUAGCAAUUUGUGAAUAGCAUCUUUUACCAUAAGCUGACAUCGCAACUGUAUGGUAGAGGUCUGUAAUUUCUAAA